This is a long non-coding RNA of Pezoporus occidentalis (night parrot), 1312 nucleotides long. RefSeq lists it as uncharacterized. The record is from RefSeq and is a predicted model, not a curated record. Lineage: Eukaryota; Metazoa; Chordata; Aves; Psittaciformes; Psittacidae. The transcript is spliced from 4 exons.
UGUGCUGCUGGUGCAGCAGCCCUAAGGCCCAUGACCUGGUCUCGUUCUCUCCGGAAGGGGCUGCGCGGCCCAUCCUGGGUGGCCUCGAGUUGCCAGGCUGGGGUGUGUGUGUCCUGCAGCCUGCGGUCGCUCAGGCGCUGGUCUGUCGUUUAGACAGCCCCUAGUCCUGGCUCUCGUUAGCACCAUUACUUAGCCCUAGGGGCUUUGGAUCCCCUUUGGGCUGUUGCCGUUGCCCUUGUGGCUGCUCCCAUGUCAUUUCUCAUAAGUAGCUUGCACUGGAAAUGAGUGAGAAGAUUGGGACUAGUGAUAACACAUUAACAGAACUUUGCAGCAGUUGCCCAGGCUGUUGUGUGGUGUUGAGUAGUACAACACCAGCAUUCCUUCACAGAUGACAAUUCUCUUUGAUUGGGGAGCAACUGCUGAAGCACUUUCUUCAUCAUUCCCCGCAAUCCUGAUGAGCUCCUCAAGUGAUGAGUUUGGACUGUUCCUUGCUGGGAAGGAGAAGAGUCUCUGUUCCAGUGGCCACCCUUGGAAGUGAUUCUUGUUUUCAAGUUACUGGCCAUUGCAGCUGGGUUAAGAUUUUUAUCACAAAUGCAAGAAGGGAUCAUGGACCCUUGGUUUUGAUGAUGAGAGCAAGGAGCAGCGAUCCAGCACCUGUCUGGAUAAUGCAGAUACUUUGUAUGUCAAACUAAAUAAUGAUGCCUCAUCAACUAAAAGAAGCUACAGCCUGCGUUAGGGGGAGAACUGUUGUUAGGUGUCCUCGAGGUACAACAAGCGAGAAGCGGUUUGGUCGCUCCUGCACUUCCUCUGUGGGUCACAAGAUGGGGUACGAAUACUCAGAAAGAUGAUUGUCCAAGUAACGCAUUCAGCAGUGAAACACCAUCUUAACACUGUAUUUUGCUGAGGCACUGUAAUAAUUCUUGCUAGCACACAAACAGAAUUUACUAGAGGUAGUAGUUAUUAAAUGUUACUUUCCAGGAGUCAUAUUCAGAAAGUUUAUAAGAGGUAUGAGUAAAUUCAGAUGUGCAAUUUCAGUAAUUUACAGCUUGUGUUGGCUAUAGUGAGGAUUCAGUUCCUUACUGCAGCCUCUGCACCUCCAGCAAUCACAGCUACCAGAUCCAUGAGGAGGGAUAUGGAAGCAUUUUUCAAAACUGAAGCAUUCUACAGAUGACACAUUUCUUUUUAAGCAGGAAAUAGUGAGUGAUGGUGCUCUCCUGGGCCUGUGCUUUGCCAGAUGCACACUGAUUCAUUGGUGGCUGUUGCUCACUAUACCCAUAAAUAGGAAGUGCCCUUGGUUUUGGCUUAGAGAACA